GGGGGAACCCUGAUCCAGCCAUGCCGCGUGUGUGAAGAAGGCCUUAUGGUUGUAAAGCACUUUAAGCGAGGAGGAGGCUACUUUAGUUAAUAUCUAGAGAUAGUGGACGUUACUCGCAGAAUAAGCACCGGCUAACUCUGUGCCAGCAGCCGCGGUAAUACAGAGGGUGCGAGCGUUAAUCGGAUUUACUGGGCGUAAAGCGUGCGUAGGCGGCUUAUUA
This 220-nucleotide ribosomal RNA is filed under the name Acinetobacter baumannii. RNAcentral describes it as "partial 16S ribosomal RNA". It matches the Rfam family "Bacterial small subunit ribosomal RNA", at positions 374 to 585 of the family's 1533-position model. The record is from RNAcentral. Lineage: Bacteria; Pseudomonadati; Pseudomonadota; Gammaproteobacteria; Moraxellales; Moraxellaceae.